RNAcentral lists this ribosomal RNA (253 nucleotides) under uncultured bacterium. RNAcentral's name for it is "partial 16S ribosomal RNA". It matches the Rfam family "Bacterial small subunit ribosomal RNA", at positions 524 to 776 of the family's 1533-position model. The record is from RNAcentral.
UACGAAGGUCCCAAGCGUUAUCCGGAUUUAUUGGGUUUAAAGGGUGCGUAGGCGGGCUAUUAAGUCAGUGGUGAAAGCCCCAAGCUUAACUUGGGAACUGCCAUUGAUACUGAUGGUCUUGAGUACAUUUGAGGUGGGCGGAAUGUGUCAUGUAGCGGUGAAAUGCUUAGAUAUGACACAGAACACCGAUUGCGAAGGCAGCUCACUAAACUGUAACUGACGCUGAGGCACGAAAGCGUGGGGAUCGAACAGG